RNAcentral lists this ribosomal RNA (460 nucleotides) under uncultured bacterium. RNAcentral's name for it is "partial 16S ribosomal RNA". It matches the Rfam family "Bacterial small subunit ribosomal RNA", at positions 338 to 795 of the family's 1533-position model. The record is from RNAcentral.
CCUACGGGAGGCUGCAGUGAGGAAUAUUGGUCAAUGGACGAGAGUCUGAACCAGCCAAGUAGCGUGAAGGAUGACUGCCCUAUGGGUUGUAAACUUCUUUUAUAUGGGAAUAAAACGUUCCACGUGUGGGAUUUUGUAUGUACCAUAUGAAUAAGGAUCGGCUAACUCCGUGCCAGCAGCCGCGGUAAUACGGAGGAUCCGAGCGUUAUCCGGAUUUAUUGGGUUUAAAGGGAGCGUAGGUGGAUUGUUAAGUCAUUUGGGAAAGUUUGGGGCUCAACCGAAAAAUUGCUGUUGAAACUGGCAGUUUUGAGUAGAGUAGAGGUAGGCGGAAUGCGUGGUGUAGCGGGGAAAUGAUUAGAUAUCACGAAGAACUCCGAUUGCGAAGGCAGUACGAUGGACUGCAACUGACACUGAGGCUCGAAAGUGUAGGUAUCAAACAGGAUGAGAUACCCUAGUAGUC